Molecule: ribosomal RNA, 206 nt
Filed under: uncultured bacterium
Lineage: Bacteria
Description: partial 16S ribosomal RNA
Rfam family: Bacterial small subunit ribosomal RNA
Source: RNAcentral
UGCGUAGGUGGUUUUUCAAGUCAGGAGUGAAAGGCUACGGCUCAACCGUAGUAAGCUCUUGAAACUGUUAAACUUGAGUGCAGGAGAGGAGAGUGGAAUUCCUAGUGUAGCGGUGAAAUGCGUAGAUAUUAGGAGGAACACCAGUUGCGAAGGCGGCUCUCUGGACUGUAACUGACACUGAGGCACGAAAGCGUGGGGAGCAAACA